Molecule: non-coding RNA, 394 nt
Organism: Pelobates cultripes (western spadefoot toad)
Lineage: Eukaryota; Metazoa; Chordata; Amphibia; Anura; Pelobatidae
Source: the annotation of a GenBank genome assembly
GUGCUACUCUGACAACGUCUAAAUUACCUGUUAUAGCAAGCAGUCUCAUUCUUUAAAGGAACACUUCAGGCACCAUAACAACUCCAAGACAGCCUCUGGAAAUUGCAUGAUCAUGUCAAGAUAUCAUAAAGUGUGCAAAUCCAGAAAGACAAUGAGGUAUUUCAUCAAAGGGCAAACCCUUAUCAUCAACCUUGUAGGCUAGAUACCUAAAAUGUCCAAAUGUAUGGGAACUUAAAAUGUCCUGGUCUGCCUAUUAUUGGGGGCUAGGAAUUUCCUGGUCUGUCCAAAGUUGUAUUUCCCUUAAUAACACUGAUGAGGGCCUUAAGGUAUUGAGUUUUUCAAUUACCCUUCAGUCCCUGCCCACAUUUUCAUGGAGAGGAGAGGCCAAUUAUCU